UACAGAGGUCUCGAGCGUUAGGCGGAAUCACUGGGCUUAAAGCGUGUGUAGGCGGAUCGGUAAGUACCUUGUGAAAUCCCACAGCUUAACUGUGGAACUGCUUGGUAUACUGCCGGUCUUGAGCCAGCUAGGGGCUACCGGAACAAAUGGUGGAGCGGUGAAAUGCGUAGAUAUCAUUUGGAACGCCAAUGGUGAAAACAGGUAGCUGGGGCUGUGCUGACGCUGAGACACGAAAGCCAGGGGAGCGAACGGG
RNAcentral lists this ribosomal RNA (253 nucleotides) under uncultured bacterium. Its description in RNAcentral is "partial 16S ribosomal RNA". It matches the Rfam family "Bacterial small subunit ribosomal RNA", at positions 524 to 776 of the family's 1533-position model. The record is from RNAcentral.